GCAUGGCAAUUCUUUGCUAAGAAGAAGGAUGCACUUACGUCAUGGGGACCGGAUUAUCCUUUUAGCUCCACACCAACUGGAGCUCCAUUAGGAUCUAGCUCUGGGGACCGAUCAAUUGUUGAUUCUUCUUCAAGAAGAGAUGAACUAGUGGACUUAAGGGCGGGUGGUUUGAGAGGUCCAUCAAGGAGGUAUGUUUCACCUUCACGAUAUCCCGGGGGAACAACCACCUCCUUUACGCCGAGCUCUGCUGAUACCACCUCCAGAUCUACUUCUGUUGAUCCUAAUUAUAAAACUUCGUCGGAGCUAAAAUAUAGGGGUCCAACCCUGGAGUCUACAGGUUUUCCUAAAAGAAGAGAGAAUCUAUUUGUAAGCAAUGAAGUUGUGGAUGAUAGCAGUUGAGUUGUA
This 405-nucleotide unclassified non-coding RNA is filed under the name Hevea brasiliensis (rubber tree). The record is from RNAcentral. Lineage: Eukaryota; Viridiplantae; Streptophyta; Magnoliopsida; Malpighiales; Euphorbiaceae.